UACAGAGGGGGCAAGCGUUGUUCGGAAUUACUGGGCGUAAAGGGCGCGUAGGCGGCCUUCUAAGUCGAACGUGAAAUCCCCGGGCUCAACCCGGGAACUGCGUCCGAUACUGGAAGGCUUGAAUCCGGGAGAGGGAUGCGGAAUUCCAGGUGUAGCGGUGGAAUGCGUAGAUAUCGGGAGGAACACCAGUGGCGAAGGCGGUUGCCUGGAGCUUUGCUGACGCUGAGGCGCGAAAGCGUGGGGAGCGAUCCGG
RNAcentral lists this ribosomal RNA (253 nucleotides) under uncultured bacterium. Its description in RNAcentral is "partial 16S ribosomal RNA". It matches the Rfam family "Bacterial small subunit ribosomal RNA", at positions 524 to 776 of the family's 1533-position model. The record is from RNAcentral.